AAAGGCGUAGUCGAUGGGAAACAGGUUAAUAUUCCUGUACUUGGUGUUACUGCGAAGGGGGGACGGAGAAGGCUAUGUUGGCCGGGCGACGGUUGUCCCGGUUUAAGCGUGUAGGCUGGUUUUCCAGGCAAAUCCGGAAAAUCAAGGCUGAGGCGUGAUGACGAGGCACUACGGUGCUGAAGCAACAAAUGCCCUGCUUCCAGGAAAAGCCUCUAAGCAUCAGGUAACAUCAAAUCGUACCCCAAACCGACACAGGUGGUCAGGUAGAGAAUACCAAGGCGCUUGAGAGAACUCGGGUGAAGGAACUAGGCAAAAUGGUGCCGUAACUUCGGGAGAAGGCACGCUGAUAUGUAGGUGAAGUCCCUUGCGGAUGGAGCUGAAAUCAGUCGAAGAUACCAGCUGGCUGCAACUGUUUAUUAAAAACACAGCACUGUGCAAACACGAAAGUGGACGUAUACGGUGUGACGCCUGCCCGGUGCCGGAAGGUUAAUUGAUGGGGUCAGCGCAAGCGAAGCUCUUGAUCGAAGCCCCGGUAAACGGCGGCCGUAACUAUAACGGUCCUAAGGUAGCGAAAUUCCUUGUCGGGUAAGUUCCGACCUGCACGAAUGGCGUAAUGAUGGCCAGGCUGUCUCCACCCGAGACUCAGUGAAAUUGAACUCGCUGUGAAGAUGCAGUGUACCCGCGGCAAGACGGAAAGACCCCGUGAACCUUUACUAUAGCUUGACACUGAACAUUGAGCCUUGAUGUGUAGGAUAGGUGGGAGGCUUUGAAGUGUGGACGCCAGUCUGCAUGGAGCCGGCCUUGAAAUACCACCCUUUAAUGUUUGAUGUUCUAACGUGGACCCGUGAUCCGGGUUGCGGACAGUGUCUGGUGGGUAGUUUGACUGGGGCGGUCUCCUCCUAAAGAGUAACGGAGGAGCACGAAGGUUGGCUAAUCCUGGUCGGACAUCAGGAGGUUAGUGCAAUGGCAUAAGCCAGCUUGACUGCGAGCGUGACGGCGCGAGCAGGUGCGAAAGCAGGUCAUAGUGAUCCGGUGGUUCUGAAUGGAAGGGCCAUCGCUCAACGGAUAAAAGGUACUCCGGGGAUAACAGGCUGAUACCGCCCAAGAGUUCAUAUCGACGGCGGUGUUUGGCACCUCGAUGUCGGCUCAUCACAUCCUGGGGCUGAAGUAGGUCCCAAGGGUAUGGCUGUUCGCCAUUUAAAGUGGUACGCGAGCUGGGUUUAGAACGUCGUGAGACAGUUCGGUCCCUAUCUGCCGUGGGCGCUGGAGAACUGAGGGGGGCUGCUCCUAGUACGAGAGGACCGGAGUGGACGCAUCACUGGUGUUCGGGUUGUCAUGCCAAUGGCACUGCCCGGUAGCUAAAUGCGGAAGAGAUAAGUGCUGAAAGCAUCUAAGCACGAAACUUGCCCCGAGAUGAGUUCUCCCUGACCCUUUAAGGGUCCUGAAGGAACGUUGAAGACGACGACGUUGAUAGGCCGGGUGUGUAAGCGCAGCGAUGCGUUGAGCUAACCGGUACUAAUGAACCGUGAG
Molecule: ribosomal RNA, 1530 nt
Filed under: Shigella sonnei
Lineage: Bacteria; Pseudomonadati; Pseudomonadota; Gammaproteobacteria; Enterobacterales; Enterobacteriaceae
Description: partial 23S ribosomal RNA
Rfam family: Bacterial large subunit ribosomal RNA
Source: RNAcentral